UGGGUCCCUGGGGCCCAGAUCGUUUACCGUGAAAAAAUUAGAGUGUUCAAAGCAGGCAGAUCCAAUUUUCUGCCACCGAAUACAUUAGCAUGGGAUAAUGGAAUAGGACCCUGUCCUCCUAUUUUCAGUUGGUUUUGGCAGCGCGAGGACUAGGGUAAUGAUUAAUAGGGAUAGUUGGGGGCAUUAAUAUUUAAUUGUCAGAGGUGAAAUUCUUGGAUUUAUGAAAGAUUAACUUCUGCGAAAGCAUCUGCCAAGGAUGUUUUCAUUAAUCAAGAACGAAAGUUAGGGGAUCGAAGACGAUCAGAUACCGUCGUAGUAUUAACCAUAAACGAUGCCGACCAGCGAUUAGGAGACGUUGAAUACAAAACACCACCAUCGGCGCGGUCGUCCUUGGCGUCGGUCCUUCACGGGGCCGGCGCGAGGGCGGCUUAGCCCGGUGGCACCGGUGAAUGACUCCCCUA
This 461-nucleotide ribosomal RNA is filed under the name Acanthamoeba sp. CDC # V240. RNAcentral's name for it is "SSU rRNA". It matches the Rfam family "Eukaryotic small subunit ribosomal RNA", at positions 729 to 1082 of the family's 1831-position model. Lineage: Eukaryota; Discosea; Longamoebia; Acanthamoebidae. The record is from RNAcentral.